This 334-nucleotide ribosomal RNA is filed under the name uncultured eukaryote. Its description in RNAcentral is "partial 18S ribosomal RNA". It matches the Rfam family "Eukaryotic small subunit ribosomal RNA", at positions 1470 to 1796 of the family's 1831-position model. The record is from RNAcentral.
CCCUUAGAUGUCCGGGGCCGCACGCGCGCUACACUGAAGGAAUCAGCGUGGCUUUCUCCCUGACCCGAGAGGGUUGGGAAACCCGUUGAAUCUCCUUCGUGAUAGGGAUUGGGGCUUGAAAUUGUUCCCCAUGAACGAGGAAUUCCCAGUAAGCGCGAGUCAUAAGCUCGCGUUGAUUACGUCCCUGCCCUUUGUACACACCGCCCGUCGCUACUACCGAUUGAACGGUUUAGUGAGGGCCUCGGAUUGGUCUCGGCCCGCUCUUUACCGGGCGGCGCCGUUGGUCGAGAAGACGCUCGAACUUGAUCGUUUAGAGGAAGUAAAAGUCGUAACA